CUCGAUUAUCAUAUCAUCUCUCUCUGUUUCAAAACAAUUGUGGCUUUACAAUUUCAAUGUGAUUUAUUUAUUUAUAUAAGUUUACUAGUUUACCCUUGAAUGGUAAAAAGAUUUCUUAUUUUGUGUGAGAUGCAAAACGAAGGCUCUAAAUGGCCUUUGAAUUCAGCUGAAUUCAACGGUAAAGAGAUGAACAAGGCUUCGUUAAACAACUCGCGCAUGAUGAAGAACAAGGAUUCACUAUGUUAUCGCGUCAAGGUUCUUGCUGCUACUGUAUGAUUUAUGUGUCACAAA
This 291-nucleotide unclassified non-coding RNA is filed under the name Arabidopsis thaliana (thale cress). Lineage: Eukaryota; Viridiplantae; Streptophyta; Magnoliopsida; Brassicales; Brassicaceae. The record is from RNAcentral.